RNAcentral lists this ribosomal RNA (393 nucleotides) under Dendropoma sp. RNAcentral's name for it is "partial large subunit ribosomal RNA". It matches the Rfam family "Bacterial large subunit ribosomal RNA", at positions 1992 to 2620 of the family's 2925-position model. Lineage: Eukaryota; Metazoa; Mollusca; Gastropoda; Littorinimorpha; Vermetidae. The record is from RNAcentral.
AUGAAUGGUUAGACGGUAGAGUUGACUGUCUCUUCAAAAUUUUAAGAAUUUAAAUUCUAGGUUAAAAUGCCUAGAUAUUAUUGAAAGACGAGAAGACCCUAGCGAGCUUUAUUUUUAACGCUAGAAAUAAGUAGAUGUUUAAACUUUUGUUGGGGCGACUGAGGAGAUGGAGCUUCCUUUAUAAAAUGAAAAAUAAUGGUUAAGGAUCCAGUGUAAUUACUGAAAAACAGGGGAGCUACCGUAGGGAUAACAGCGUAAUCCUUUUAGAGAGUUCUUAUCGAAAAAAGUGUUUGCGACCUCGAUGUUGGACUAGGAUAUCCUAAAGGUGUAGAGGCUUUUAAGGGUUGGUCUGUUCGACCAAUAAAAUCCUACAUGAUCUGAGUUCAAACCGGA